Molecule: long non-coding RNA, 409 nt
Organism: Amphimedon queenslandica
Lineage: Eukaryota; Metazoa; Porifera; Demospongiae; Haplosclerida; Niphatidae
Exons: 3
Source: RefSeq, a predicted model, not a curated record
GGCAAUGUAUAGUUUUCCUAAAACAAGUGUCCGAAAAUUGAUGGUGUACGAUCAUUGAUAAUGUACUCUAUUGGACCAUACAAUCCUGAAAGUGCUAAAAUGUUUGCUUAUAUUUUUGGACAUUAUUUGAGUACAAUACAGAUUUCUUAUUCAGUGACUAGUGUACUACUUGACAACAAUAAAGAAUAUCCUUAUUUUCACACUACAAUUCCAAAUGAUGAGUAUUUUAAUGUUGUUAUAAGUAAGCUACUGGAUAACUUUGAUUGGAAGAAAGUGGCCAUUAUAUGAACAUUUGAUGAAGAAAGUGUAUUGGCCUCACAAUAUAUGUUUAAAAAACUUAAGCAUGACAAAAAGCAAGUUCAUCUUUUUCAUUCCUUUAUAAACUCUGCUGAAAGUAUUCUUAACUCUU